This 776-nucleotide ribosomal RNA is filed under the name uncultured Bacteroidota bacterium. RNAcentral describes it as "bacterial SSU rRNA". It matches the Rfam family "Bacterial small subunit ribosomal RNA", at positions 72 to 847 of the family's 1533-position model. Lineage: Bacteria; Pseudomonadati; Bacteroidota. The record is from RNAcentral.
AGUGAUAGCAAUAUUACUUUGGCUAGACCGGCGCACGGGUGCGUAACACGUAUGCAACCUACCUUAUACUGGGGAAUAACUUCGAGAAAUCGGCGCUAAUACCCCAUAACAUUGCGAAGAGGCAUCUCUUUGCACUUAAAGCUCCGGCGGUAUAAGAUGGGCAUGCGUCCAAUUAGCUAGUUGGUGAGGUAAUGGCUCACCAAGGCUACGAUUGGUAGGGGUUCUGAGAGGAUGAUCCCCCACACUGGUACUGAGACACGGACCAGACUCCUACGGGAGGCAGCAGUGAGGAAUAUUGCGCAAUGGACGAAAGUCUGACGCAGCCAUGCCGCGUGCAGGAUGACGGCCCUAUGGGUUGUAAACUGCUUUUGUAUGGGAAUAAACCCUUCUACGUGUAGAAGGCUGAAGGUACCAUAAGAAUAAGCACCGGCUAACUCCGUGCCAGCAGCCGCGGUAAUACGGAGGGUGCAAGCGUUAUCCGGAUUUAUUGGGUUUAAAGGGUCCGUAGGCGGGCCGAUAAGUCAGUGGUGAAAGCCCAUAGCUCAACUAUGGAACUGCCAUUGAUACUGUCGGUCUUGAGUAUAUGUGAUGUUGGCGGAAUGUGUAGUGUAGCGGUGAAAUGCUUAGAUAUUACACAGAACACCGAUUGCGAAGGCAGCUGACAAAUAUAUAACUGACGCUGAGGGACGAAAGUGUGGGGAUCAAACAGGAUUAGAUACCCUGGUAGUCCACACCGUAAACGAUGAUUACUAGAUUUUGGCCUUAUGGUCAGAGUC